GGACCCGUCUUGAAACACGGACCAAGAAGUCUAACAUGUGUGCAAGUCAUUGGGUUUGCAAUAUCUAUUGAAACCUAAAGGCGUAAUUAACUUAACUGUAAUUUAAUGGGAUUAUUAUGUAUAAAUUUUAUUUAUACAGAAUCCAUCCCGGGGCGUUCCAUACAGUUAUGUAUCUUAAUAUAUAUGAAUUUUUUUUUGUGUUUAUUAUUGAUACCUCUAACUGGAGCGUACCUUGAGCAAAUAUGUUGUGACCCGAAAGAUGGUGAACUAUACCUGAUCAGGUCGA
RNAcentral lists this ribosomal RNA (286 nucleotides) under Hermetia illucens (black soldier fly). RNAcentral describes it as "partial large subunit ribosomal RNA". It matches the Rfam family "Eukaryotic large subunit ribosomal RNA", at positions 645 to 849 of the family's 3401-position model. The record is from RNAcentral. Lineage: Eukaryota; Metazoa; Arthropoda; Insecta; Diptera; Stratiomyidae.